This 785-nucleotide ribosomal RNA is filed under the name uncultured organism. RNAcentral's name for it is "SSU rRNA". It matches the Rfam family "Bacterial small subunit ribosomal RNA", at positions 34 to 832 of the family's 1533-position model. The record is from RNAcentral.
CGCUGGCGGCGCGCCUAACACAUGCAAGUCGAACGAGAGAGAAGGAGCUUGCUUCUUCGAUCGAGUGGCGAACGGGUGAGUAACGCGUGAGGAACCUGCCUCAAAGAGGGGGACAACAGUUGGAAACGACUGCUAAUACCGCAUAAGCCCACGGGUCGGCAUCGACCUGAGGGAAAAGGAGCAAUCCGCUUUGAGAUGGCCUCGCGUCCGAUUAGCUAGUUGGUGAGGUAACGGCCCACCAAGGCGACGAUCGGUAGCCGGACUGAGAGGUUGAACGGCCACAUUGGGACUGAGACACGGCCCAGACUCCUACGGGAGGCAGCAGUGGGGAAUAUUGCACAAUGGGGGAAACCCUGAUGCAGCGACGCCGCGUGGAGGAAGAAGGUCUUCGGAUUGUAAACUCCUGUUGUUGAGGAAGAUAAUGACGGUACUCAACAAGGAAGUGACGGCUAACUACGUGCCAGCAGCCGCGGUAAAACGUAGGUCACAAGCGUUGUCCGGAAUUACUGGGUGUAAAGGGAGCGCAGGCGGGAAGACAAGUUGGAAGUGAAAUCUAUGGGCUCAACCCAUAAACUGCUUUCAAAACUGUUUUUCUUGAGUAGUGCAGAGGUAGGCGGAAUUCCCGGUGUAGCGGUGGAAUGCGUAGAUAUCGGGAGGAACACCAGUGGCGAAGGCGGCCUACUGGGCACCAACUGACGCUGACGCUCGAAAGUGUGGGUAGCAAACAGGAUUAGAUACCCUGGUAGUCCACACCGUAAACGAUGAUUACUAGGUGUUGGAGGAUU